RNAcentral lists this long non-coding RNA (1634 nucleotides) under Zea mays. Its description in RNAcentral is "long non-coding RNA (ZMAY_LNC004424)". The record is from RNAcentral. Lineage: Eukaryota; Viridiplantae; Streptophyta; Magnoliopsida; Poales; Poaceae.
GCUGAUCAACAAUAGGGGUUAAAUCUGAGCAUUACUUUUAAUAAGUUGGUCAAAUUUUAUUAGCAGUUACUAAAUGUAAGUGAAUACCAAACCUUAAUAAGAAUAAUAGAACAAAAUUAAUAAAUAAUCCCAUGCAAUGCAUAUGACAAAUUGAAUUUAAGUUCUAUAAAUUAAUCAUGCGAGAGUCCUGAGUUGCUCAUGACCGUGAGCUCGGCUAGUAUACCAGUUUUACACUCUACAGAGGUUGUACCCUGUACCCACAAGUCAUGUUACCCAUCUGCCAAGGGAUCGUGACUCUCAUACACCUCUACCAAGGAAGCGAGGCAGGGAAACACUACGAGGCCUUUACAAAGUUCUACUAGCUUCCGAAAACCCGCUAUAGUUUAUGGGAAGAGCACUUGCAAGAAUCCCUCGUCUGACCGCCAUCGCAGCAAAAUCAACCCAAGAACCUCCCUGCAUGCAACUCCAAACAUGUAAACAAAAUACACAUUAAUAAUCUACAUAUUAAAAUAAGAACCUAGGAACAGGAAUCAUUAAUUUUGGAGUUAUGGAUUUUGAAUUAUGAAUUUCCAAAGGUUUUAUGUGCUUGAUAUAUGAUUAAGUGAGAAAUAAAUUUUACUACUGUUUUCAUGUCAAAACAGAGACUCUAAGUGAUAAACAAUAAUAUUACAAAAUUUUAGAAAGUGGAAUGGAGUAAUUUGGACUAAAAAUGAAUUUCCUAUGAAUUUUACAAGUUCUAGCACUUAUUUAUAUAUUUAAAAUGCAUUUAUAAUUUAAUUUCUCUGGUUUUAUAAUACUCUGGACGGGGCCUCAAUUUCUGGUAAGCAUAGGGGCUCUGGCGCAAAAGAUCCUAAGACACAGACAACCCAGGCCGUGGACUGUGGGUUAGUUCUCUAAAACAUAAGGGCUUUUUCUGCAAAACGCGUACAACGAAGGGGUACCGUGAUCCCUCAACCGUCCGAUCUGAAAUGAGGCGCCCUGAUUAGAUCGACCCCCAUCCCGAACCGGUAUUCAAUAGGAAUCGCCCGAUUAGAAUUCUACGGUUCGAAUUUAAAACCCCCCUGCGAUUGCCCUGGCUCGCCCGAUCCGCAUCGGACGACCGAAACGAAUCCAGGCCAAACCGGUAUCCAGCAUCUAAUCAGAGUCGUUCGCAAAAGGAUCGACGACCGAGAUCGUCCACCACCCCUAGCGACGAAACACGACGACGGCGCGGACAGCACCCGCGGCGGCACGCCAUGCCCAGCGACCCCAAGUUCUCGGUACAACGCCUAAAGCCCUAAUUCGAAGGCGCAACAUGAUGCCCUACAUCUGACGAAUGCAAUGAACGAUCAAUUACCUCACAGUUUGCAGCAGACGAACCCGACCACGGUGAGCGGCGGAACGGUGGGAUUGGUUGAGCUCCGGCGAGGAAUUCAGUCGACGACCGAGGCUUUCCCGGCUCUAAUCCACCACGGUCACGCAACACGCAAACAGGAGUGUUGCCCAGGCACCUUAUCUAGACUAAAACGACGACGAAGAGCGAGUCUACAGCUACGGCGGCGCAACCCGAUUCUGCUCACACCGGCGGCGUCAGGUGAGGGGUUAGGUCGCGUCAACAGGAGGUGGUGGUGCUUAGGGUUUGGGCGCCGUGCUUU